Non-coding RNA from Brachypodium distachyon (stiff brome), 185 nucleotides. Lineage: Eukaryota; Viridiplantae; Streptophyta; Magnoliopsida; Poales; Poaceae. The record is from RefSeq and is marked provisional.
UUUUGCUAUUUCUAAGACGACUGAGAAAUAACUAUAUCUAAGUCGACCCUAACAACCAUUCGAUCCAUCACUGAGAUUCGUGCAAAAUUCAUAUAAGCAUAAGCAAUGAAAAAAUCUUAAUUGAAUGGUUAUGAUCGUCGACUGAGAAAUAACUAUUUUUAAGUUGACCGAGAAAUAGACAUUCC